UCCGGUUUGUCACCGGCAGUCCCAUUAGAGUGCUCAACUAAAUGGUAGCAACUAAGGACGGGGGUUGCGCUCGUUGCGGGACUUAACCCAACAUCUCACGACACGAGCUGACGACAGCCAUGCAGCACCUGUGUUCCGGGCUCCGAAGAGAAGGUCACAUCUCUGCGACCGGUCCCGGACAUGUCAAGGGCUGGUAAGGUUCUGCGCGUUGCGUCGAAUUAAACCACAUGUUCCACCGCUUGUGCGGGUCCCCGUCAAUUUCUUUGAGUUUUAAUCUUGCGACCGUACUCCCCAGGCGGGGCACUUACUGCGUUAGCGACGGCACCGGGAGGGUCGCUCCCCCCGACGCCUAGUGCCCAUCGUUUACGGCGUGGACUAC
This 379-nucleotide unclassified non-coding RNA is filed under the name uncultured Pseudomonadota bacterium. Its description in RNAcentral is "uncultured proteobacterium contains 16S-23S intergenic spacer region". Lineage: Bacteria; Pseudomonadati; Pseudomonadota. The record is from RNAcentral.